This 172-nucleotide non-coding RNA is filed under the name Apilactobacillus bombintestini. RNAcentral describes it as "Lysine riboswitch". It matches the Rfam family "Lysine riboswitch aptamer". From Rfam's summary of the family: Riboswitches are metabolite binding domains within certain messenger RNAs that serve as precision sensors for their corresponding targets. Lineage: Bacteria; Bacillati; Bacillota; Bacilli; Lactobacillales; Lactobacillaceae. The record is from RNAcentral.
UAAGGAAGAGGCGCAAUGAUUAUUAGUCGUCCUAUCAAACAAUUUAGGUUGUGAAGCGAUAGGAUUAAAGGAAUCGUUGCCGAAACUGGUAGUCGCCUAAACGGCUACUUCGUUGGGUCCUAGCUAAAUAAGCUAGGGACUGUCGCAAGUUAUUGCUUGCGGGGUGCUUUUA